This is a regulatory RNA element of Jonquetella anthropi DSM 22815, 106 nucleotides long. It matches the Rfam family "SAM riboswitch aptamer (S box leader)". Rfam says of the family: The SAM riboswitch is found upstream of a number of genes which code for proteins involved in methionine or cysteine biosynthesis in Gram-positive bacteria. The SAM riboswitch acts at the level of transcription termination control. Lineage: Bacteria; Thermotogati; Synergistota; Synergistia; Synergistales; Dethiosulfovibrionaceae. The record is from Rfam.
CUCUUAUCAAGAGCGGCGGAGGGACUGGCCCUAUGAAGCCCGGCAACCUGCCUGAAAAGGUAUGGUGCUAAGACCAGCGGCGAACGAGUUCGCCGGAUGAUGAGAG